Long non-coding RNA from Aricia agestis (brown argus), 110 nucleotides. RefSeq lists it as uncharacterized. The record is from RefSeq and is a predicted model, not a curated record. The transcript has 3 exons. NCBI's taxonomy places the organism in Eukaryota, Metazoa, Arthropoda, Insecta, Lepidoptera, Lycaenidae.
GGCAACAGCUAUACAAUAUCUGUAAAAAUUUAAGAAGUCCAGCUAUUGUGGUUCUUGAAAUACAGCCUGGACACAGACGGACAGACAACGAAGUCUUAGUAAUAGGGUCC